AUUGGCACCUCUUAGACCGGCU
Molecule: microRNA, 22 nt
Filed under: Ascaris suum (pig roundworm)
Lineage: Eukaryota; Metazoa; Nematoda; Chromadorea; Rhabditida; Ascarididae
Description: asu-miR-5367-3p
Source: miRBase by way of RNAcentral